AGUAUAGGAUACAAUUUUGAAAAUAUGCAAGUUUUGCAUAAUUUAUAUCGGAUGCUUCCAAUAUUUUUAAACAAUGAUCUGGUCACGGAUGAAAUAGAUCACUUGUUCAUGGUUUUUUUCCCUCGGGAAAUAAUCAGUCUUUAUCGAAAUGUAUAUGAAGACAAAAUGGGAUUUACAACUGGCACGUUUGAACAUCCUAAAGGUUUGCAUUUGGAGGUGAAAAAUUGCGGAUAUCGUUUGGUAUUUAAGGAGGAUCUUCAACAAUUAAACUUAAACAUGAUGUUCAGCGAAAAUUCCUCAUCUAAGAAGUGCAAGCUUUUAUCAAGUGAUUCGCCAUACAUCAUUCAUUGAGCUUAUUCACGGAAAGAGUAGAGAUUUCUUUUCAACCACAAUUACAUCAAAUAAAUUCUUACCCAUUGUAGGGCUUGAACUACCAGUGCCACCAAUCUUCACUUUUGGAGAAAAAUGAGUUGAAUGAUUGAAGGCUGGUUCAAACUUAUUUCAGCUAUUGGAUUGCAGUCAGUUAUAGCUGCUCUUCGGGAUGGAUUCAAAGACUCCACUCUGAGGCAUCACUCUCGCGUACACACAAGGCUAGCACUGUCAAACAAUUAAAGG
Cajanus cajan (pigeon pea) is the source of this 615-nucleotide non-coding RNA. The record is from RefSeq and is a predicted model, not a curated record. NCBI's taxonomy places the organism in Eukaryota, Viridiplantae, Streptophyta, Magnoliopsida, Fabales, Fabaceae.